AACCCUAGUCAAUAGAUUCACGGCGUAAAACGUGUUUAAGGAAUAUUUUUAUAAAGUCAAACUUUAGCUACGCUGUAAAAAGCCACAGCUACUGUAAGCCCUAACGCGAAAGUAACUUUAAGACACCUGAAUACACGACAGCUAAGACCCAAACUGGGAUUAGAUACCCCACUAUGCUUAGCCCUAAACUUAAAGAGUCCUCCCAACAAGACUCUUCGCCAGAGUACUACUAGCCAAAGCUUAAAACUCAAGGGACUUGGCGGUGCUUCAUAUCCCUCUAGAGGAGCCUGUUCUAUAAUCGAUAAACCCCGAUCAACCUCACCAACCCUUGCCAACU
RNAcentral lists this ribosomal RNA (337 nucleotides) under Artibeus lituratus (great fruit-eating bat). RNAcentral describes it as "partial 12S ribosomal RNA". It matches the Rfam family "Bacterial small subunit ribosomal RNA", at positions 536 to 989 of the family's 1533-position model. Lineage: Eukaryota; Metazoa; Chordata; Mammalia; Chiroptera; Phyllostomidae. The record is from RNAcentral.